RNAcentral lists this ribosomal RNA (897 nucleotides) under uncultured bacterium. Its description in RNAcentral is "bacterial SSU rRNA". It matches the Rfam family "Bacterial small subunit ribosomal RNA", at positions 8 to 916 of the family's 1533-position model. The record is from RNAcentral.
AGAGUUUGAUCCUGGCUCAGGACGAACGCUGGCGGCGCGCCUAACACAUGCAAGUCGAACGGAGUCAAGAGGAGCUUGCUUUUCUUGACUUAGUGGCGAACGGGUGAGUAACGCGUGAGUAACCUGCCCUGGAGUGGGGGACAACAGUUGGAAACGACUGCUAAUACCGCAUAAGCCCACGGAUCCGCAUGGAUCUGCGGGAAAAGGAUUUAUUCGCUUCAGGAUGGACUCGCGUCCAAUUAGCUAGUUGGUGAGGUAACGGCCCACCAAGGCGACGAUUGGUAGCCGGACUGAGAGGUUGAACGGCCACAUUGGGACUGAGACACGGCCCAGACUCCUACGGGAGGCAGCAGUGGGGGAUAUUGCACAACGGGGGAAACCCUGAUGCAGCGACGCCGCGUGGAGGAAGAAGGUUUUCGGAUUGUAAACUCCUGUCGUUAGGGACGAUAAUGACGGUACCUAACAAGAAAGCACCGGCUAACUACGUGCCAGCAGCCGCGGUAAAACGUAGGGUGCAAGCGUUGUCCGGAAUUACUGGGUGUAAAGGGAGCGCAGGCGGACCGGCAAGUUGGAAGUGAAAACUAUGGGCUCAACCCAUAAAUUGCUUUCAAAACUGCUGGCCUUGAGUAGUGCAGAGGUAGGUGGAAUUCCCGGUGUAGCGGUGGAAUGCGUAGAUAUCGGGAGGAACACCAGUGGCGAAGGCGACCUACUGGGCACCAACUGACGCUGAGGCUCGAAAGCAUGGGUAGCAAACAGGAUUAGAUACCCUGGUAGUCCAUGCCGUAAACGAUGAUUACUAGGUGUUGGAGGAUUGACCCCUUCAGUGCCGCAGUUAACACAAUAAGUAAUCCACCUGGGGAGUACGACCGCAAGGUUGAAACUCAAAUGAAUUGACGG